This 1445-nucleotide ribosomal RNA is filed under the name metagenome. RNAcentral's name for it is "bacterial LSU rRNA". It matches the Rfam family "Bacterial large subunit ribosomal RNA", at positions 604 to 2034 of the family's 2925-position model. The record is from RNAcentral.
UUUUUUGUAUAAUGGGUCAGCGACUUAUAUUCUGUAGCAAGGUUAACCGAAUAGGGGAGCCGAAGGGAAACCGAGUCUUAACUGGGCGUUAAGUUGCAGGGUAUAGACCCGAAACCCGGUGAUCUAGCCAUGGGCAGGUUGAAGGUUGGGUAACACUAACUGGAGGACCGAACCGACUAAUGUUGAAAAAUUAGCGGAUGACUUGUGGCUGGGGGUGAAAGGCCAAUCAAACCGGGAGAUAGCUGGUUCUCCCCGAAAGCUAUUUAGGUAGCGCCUCGUGAAUUCAUCUCCGGGGGUAGAGCACUGUUUCGGCAAGGGGGUCAUCCCGACUUACCAACCCGAUGCAAACUGCGAAUACCGGAGAAUGUUAUCACGGGAGACACACGGCGGGUGCUAACGUCCGUCGUGAAGAGGGAAACAACCCAGACCGCCAGCUAAGGUCCCAAAGUCAUGGUUAAGUGGGAAACGAUGUGGGAAGGCCCAGACAGCCAGGAUGUUGGCUUAGAAGCAGCCAUCAUUUAAAGAAAGCGUAAUAGCUCACUGGUCGAGUCGGCCUGCGCGGAAGAUGUAACGGGGCUAAACCAUGCACCGAAGCUGCGGCAGCGACGCUUAUGCGUUGUUGGGUAGGUGAGCGUUCUGUAAGCCUGCGAAGGUGUGCUGUGAGGCAUGCUGGAGGUAUCAGAAGUGCGAAUGCUGACAUAAGUAACGAUAAAGCGGGUGAAAAGCCCGCUCGCCGGAAGACCAAGGGUUCCUGUCCAACGUUAAUCGGGGCAGGGUGAGUCGACCCCUAAGGCGAGGCCGAAAGGCGUAGUCGAUGGGAAACAGGUUAAUAUUCCUGUACUUGGUGUUACUGCGAAGGGGGGACGGAGAAGGCUAUGUUGGCCGGGCGACGGUUGUCCCGGUUUAAGCGUGUAGGCUGGUUUUCCAGGCAAAUCCGGAAAAUCAAGGCUGAGGCGUGAUGACGAGGCACUACGGUGCUGAAGCAACAAAUGCCCUGCUUCCAGGAAAAGCCUCUAAGCAUCAGGUAACAUCAAAUCGUACCCCAAACCGACACAGGUGGUCAGGUAGAGAAUACCAAGGCGCUUGAGAGAACUCGGGUGAAGGAACUAGGCAAAAUGGUGCCGUAACUUCGGGAGAAGGCACGCUGAUAUGUAGGUGAGGUCCCUCGCGGAUGGAGCUGAAAUCAGUCGAAGAUACCAGCUGGCUGCAACUGUUUAUUAAAAACACAGCACUGUGCAAACACGAAAGUGGACGUAUACGGUGUGACGCCUGCCCGGUGCCGGAAGGUUAAUUGAUGGGGUUAGCGCAAGCGAAGCUCUUGAUCGAAGCCCCGGUAAACGGCGGCCGUAACUAUAACGGUCCUAAGGUAGCGAAAUUCCUUGUCGGGUAAGUUCCGACCUGCACGAAUGGCGUAAUGAUGGCCAGGCUGUCUCCACCCGAGACCC